Triticum urartu is the source of this 1159-nucleotide non-coding RNA. The record is from RefSeq and is a predicted model, not a curated record. Lineage: Eukaryota; Viridiplantae; Streptophyta; Magnoliopsida; Poales; Poaceae.
CACCCGUGAGCAGGCACCAGCACUGCGCCGACCACUUUAGGGGAAAAGCAGACCCGUGACCAUCAACGCAGUCAAACGAUCGGAGUGUCGCUUGCAUCCUCUCCUAACUCGCCUGCCCAGAUAGAGAGAGAGAGAGCCCUACUGAGAGAGGAGAUACAACCUCGUCAUAGCAAGAUCAGCGUGCUGGAGACCGAGCGACGUCCUUUUCAAUGGAGAAGAACGGCAGCACUGCACAGGCGAUGGAGGUCGACGAACUAAAAGAUGCAUACACCGCAGUCCCUAGUGUGGAUCAGAACACACAACCAGCCAACAAGAGCACACCUGGCGCUGAGAGGAUUGAUGGGGAAAACACGGACGAGGAGGAAAAGAUUGAACAAAGAGGGGAAGCAUAGCAUCGGAGGGAAGCCUGGGGGCGAUCGAGCGGGCGAUGGAAGAAGAAGUGAAGCUUGGGAAGAAAAUUGUGUUCGAACCAGCUGUGUGCAUGUCUUUCAACUCUGAGCAGGAGGCAUAUGAGUUUUACAAUGCGCACUCCUGGGAAGUCAGGUUCGGCAUCAAGCGUGGGAACAAGUACAUCAACGGCAACCCUACAAAUCUAAACAAGAUUUACUGUGCUCAUGCGAGGGCAAAGAUAGUAAACAAAAUUCAAGAUCAUCCAGGACGCAAUGUCGUUAACCGUUAACGUACCCAGCCGCCCAUGGAAUUGUAGACGGCACGGGUUCGCUCACUAGGGGCCUGGUCGUCGUGGAACACCCUCACCGAUGCAACUUGAUUGCGCCACCCGCCGUCCGUGAAACGGACGAGGUACGAUUGUACCGAGAGGGCGGACACGUCGACGGCUACCCUCGUUGAACUCGACGAGGAUUGCUUCCUUCAACGCCCCCGGUCGACGCACGCCGCGGUGAUCACCAUUGCGGUGGCUCGGAGACGGUUCUCUUCUUCCACCAUGGCGGGUGUGCCCUCAAUCAUGCAGUAAGACAUGAACGGACAGUUGUUUGGGUCGGAGGAAAACGACAUCGGGAGCUCACGUUCUCCAUCGGUGGUAUAGUUUUUGGUUGGUUUCUACCACUGAAGCGUAACACAAAGGCUAUUUUGUGGUUUUGGCAUGACCCGCGGUCUAUUUUAUAUAUAAACAUGCACGUCUUUAAAUGAAUGCGUCACA